GAAAUGCGAUAAGUAGUGUGAAUUGCAGAAUUCAGUGAAUCAUCGAAUCUUUGAACGCACAUUGCGCCCUUUGGUAUUCCUUAGGGCAUGCCUGUUCGAGCGUCAUCUAAACCUUCAAGCCCUGCUUGGUGUUGGGUGCCUGUCCCGCCUCCGCGCGCGGACUCACCUCAAAUCCAUUGGCGGCCCCCGCGUCGGCCACGAGCGCAGCAGAAACGCGAACUCGUGAGCCCGUCCGGGCGGCUCCCAGAAGCUACACCCACCCAGUUUGACCUCGGAUCAGGGAGGGAUACCCGCUGAACUUAAGC
This 305-nucleotide unclassified non-coding RNA is filed under the name plant metagenome. RNAcentral describes it as "partial contains 5.8S ribosomal RNA, internal transcribed spacer 2, and large subunit ribosomal RNA". The stretch from base 1 to 105 matches the Rfam family "5.8S ribosomal RNA", at positions 50 to 154 of the family's 154-position model. The record is from RNAcentral.